RNAcentral lists this ribosomal RNA (484 nucleotides) under uncultured bacterium. RNAcentral's name for it is "partial 16S ribosomal RNA". It matches the Rfam family "Bacterial small subunit ribosomal RNA", at positions 30 to 507 of the family's 1533-position model. The record is from RNAcentral.
AUUGAACGCUGGCGGCAGGCCUAACACAUGCAAGUCGAGCGGAUGAAGGGAGCUUGCUCCUGGAUUCAGCGGCGGACGGGUGAGUAAUGCCUAGGAAUCUGCCUGGUAGUGGGGGAUAACGUCCGGAAACGGGCGCUAAUACCGCAUACGUCCUGAGGGAGAAAGUGGGGGAUCUUCGGACCUCACGCUAUCAGAUGAGCCUAGGUCGGAUUAGCUAGUUGGUGGGGUAAAGGCCUACCAAGGCGACGAUCCGUAACUGGUCUGAGAGGAUGAUCAGUCACACUGGAACGGGAACACGGUCCAGACUCCUACGGGAGGCAGCAGUGGGGAAUAUUGGACAAUGGGCGAAAGCCUGAUCCAGCCAGGCCGCGUGUGUGAAGAAGGUCUUCGGAUUGUAAAGCACUUUAAGUUGGGAGGAAGGGCAGUAAGUUAAUACCUUGCUGUUUUGACGUUACCAACAGAAUAAGCACCGGCUAACUUCGUG